RNAcentral lists this ribosomal RNA (448 nucleotides) under Cymothoa sp. RNAcentral's name for it is "SSU rRNA". It matches the Rfam family "Eukaryotic small subunit ribosomal RNA", at positions 193 to 649 of the family's 1831-position model. The record is from RNAcentral. Lineage: Eukaryota; Metazoa; Arthropoda; Malacostraca; Isopoda; Cymothoidae.
CGAGCGAACAGCACUUAUUAGAGACAUGAGCCAGCACAUGGGGAUUCUGGAUAUUUUGUUGCUAGCGAUAUGGUCUCGUACCAUCGCUAGUCUUUGCGAGCUUCUGACCUAUCAGCCAGAUAGUUAGAUAUAGGCUAACAAUGGCUUUGACGGGUAACGGGGAAUCUGGGUUCGAUUCCGGAGAGGGAGCCUGAUAAACGGCUACCACAUCUAAGGAAGGCAGCAGGCGCGGAACUUAACCAAAUACUAGCUCUGUGAGUUAGUGACGAAACAUCUUAAUGUGAGGUUCUUAACCGAGCCUUACAAUUGAAAUGAGUUUAUUGUAAAGUCUUAUUACGACAAACUACCGGAGGGCAAGCCUGGUGCCAGCAGCCGCGGUAAUUCCAGCUCCAUUAGCGUAAUCUAAUAUUGCUGCGGUUAAAGUGUUCGUAGUUGGCUUUUAUAGUCU